UUUUGGGAGGCCAAGGCAGGCAGAUCAUUUGAGGUCUGGAGUUCAGCAACAUUACAUAAAUUAGAAGUGGACAUAAAGCAAAGGAGAAAACACCAGCAUAAAAAUAUAAAAUGGAACCAGCAAUGGAGCUAAUAUAAGCUCAGAUCCACCUACGACCUCAGGUCCUCAGACCGACCAGCCCAAGAAACAUCUCACCAAUUUCAAUUCCGGUAAGUGGCCUCUUUUUACUCUCUUCUCCAGCUUCCCUCACUAUCCCACAACCUCUUUCUCCUUUCAAUCUUGAUGCCACACUUCAAUCUCUUCCUUCUCUUAAUUUCAAUUCCUUUCAUUUUCUGGUAGAGACAAAGGAGACACGUUUUAUCCGUGGACCCAAAACUCCCACGCCAGUCACGGACUGGGAAGGCAGCCUUCCCUUGGUGUUUAAUCAUUACAGGGACGCCUCUGAUUGUUCACCCACUUUUCAAAGGUGUCAGACCAUGCAGGGACGCCUGCCUUGGUCCUUCACCCUUAGCGGCAAGUUCCGCUUUUCUGGGGAAGGGGCAAAUACCCCAACCCCUUCUCUCCUUGUCUCUACUCCUUCUCUGCUUUUCUGGGAGAGGGGUAAGUACCCCUCAACCCCUUCUCCUUCACCCUUAGCGGCAAGUCCCGCUUUUCUGGGGCAGGGGCAAAUACCCCUCAACCCCUUCUCCUUCACCCUUAGCGGCAAGUCCCGCUUUCCUAGGGGGCAAGAACCCCCCAGUCGCUUAUUUCCGCACCCCAACCUCUUAUCUCUGUGCCCCAAUCCCUUAUUUCUGCACCCUGACCUCUUAUCUGUGCCCCAAUCCCUUAUUUCCGUGCUCCAACCCCUUCUCUGCUUUUCUGGAGGGCAAGAACCCCCCACCCCUUCUCCAUGUCUCUACUCUUUUCUCUGGGCUUGCCUCCUUCACUAUGGGUAAGCUUCCACCUUCCGUUCCUCCUUCUUCUCCCUUAGCCUGUGUUCUCAAAAACUUAAAACCUCUUCAACACACACCUGACCUAUAAAUGCCUUAUUUUCUUCUGCAAUGCCGCUUGACCACAAUACAAACUCGACAGUAGUUCCAAAUGGCCGGAAAACGGCACUUUCAAUUUUUCCAUCCUACAAGAUCUAAAUAAUUCUUGUCGUAAAAUAGGCAAAUGGUCUGAGGUGCCUGACGUCCAGGCAUUCUUUUACACAUCAGUCCCUUCCUAGUCUCUGUGCCCAGUGCAACUCGUCCCAAAUCUUCCUUCUUUCCCUCCCGGCUGUCCCCUCAGUCCCAACCCCAAGUAUCGCUGAGUCUUUUUAAUCUUCCUUUUCUACAGACCCAUCUGACCUCUCCCCUCCUCACCAGCCCAAGCUAGGUCCCAAUUCUUCCUCAGCCUCCGCUCCUCCACCCUGUAAUCUUUUUAUCGCCUCCCCUCCUCACACCUGGUUGGGCUUACAGUUUCGUUCUGUGACUAGCCCUCCCCCACCUGCCCAGCAAUUUACUCUUAAAAAGGUGGCUGGAGCCAAAGGCAUAGUCAAGGUUAAUGCUCCUUUUUCUUUAUCCCAAAUCUGAUAGCUUUUAGGCUCUUUUUCAUCAAAUAUAAAAACCCAGCCCAGUUCAUGGCUCAUUCGGCGGCAACCCUGAGACGCUUUACAGCCCUAGACCCUAAAAGGUCAAAAGGCCAUCUUAUUCUCAGUA
Molecule: long non-coding RNA, 1679 nt
Filed under: Homo sapiens (human)
Lineage: Eukaryota; Metazoa; Chordata; Mammalia; Primates; Hominidae
Description: non-protein coding lnc-MEIS1-8:1
Source: RNAcentral